Long non-coding RNA from Eriocheir sinensis (Chinese mitten crab), 4947 nucleotides. RefSeq lists it as uncharacterized. The record is from RefSeq and is a predicted model, not a curated record. Lineage: Eukaryota; Metazoa; Arthropoda; Malacostraca; Decapoda; Varunidae. The transcript is spliced from 2 exons.
UUCCCCCCUCUACUGCACAUGCGCCGACCUGUGUUUAUAUGCGCUACUCGGCCCACUCCAAAACACUGGAAAAAUCGGUCCCCCCGAGCAACGUUGCCAGAUUGUCGUACUCAGCCUUUUAUGUUUGCCGAUUUCCGACCCAAUAAACUACUUUCAUCACCCAAAUAACUGCCUUCAUAUAUGGAUAUCGUUUAAAUGGUUAAUUAUUGGUGCUUGUUGACAACAGUUAUAGCCAGAAACCGGUAAUUACGCGGCUCUGGAGUACGAUAAUCUGGCAACGGUACCCUCGAGCCCCGAGCUCGCCUGCCUCACCUCAGCAGCCGCACCGUUUUUUUAGUAUGGUAUCUUACCUGUAUACAAUAGGUACAGGAUGUAAGCCAUGAAGUUGUGACCUCAUCUUCCCAGCAGGAGCAGAAGGCUAGCAAUCGCCUCCUAUAUGUGUAUGUGAUCCUGCGGCAGUGAAAGGCCGACAGUCCUGCCCUCCUGAGUGUGUGUGUUUUGUCUUGCUACAAGAUCAGAAACGGUUUGAGCCAUGCCAUGAAAGGGAGGAGCAUGCCGUCCCAACCCCCAGACAGUACAGAGUGUGAUUAUACAACUAAGGAUACAUGUGUAAGUAGCACCGGGAAUAAAAAAAACAUUAUAUCCUUGCAUGUAUCGAUAUUAUAUUUGGAAAAAUGUAUGUAUCCCUGAUAAUAAAAUUUAUCUAUAUGUGCUUAAAUUUAAGUGAAUGGAAGCAUAAGAGAGUAAAGUGAAUGGAAGCAUAGUGAGUAAUUAAAGGUCUAAAAAACGCUAUAUCCUUGUAUCUAUAUUAUAUUUGGAAAAAUAUACUUGUUGUAUGUAUCCCUGAUAAUUAAAUUUAUCUAUAUAUGUGCUUAAAUUUAAGUGAAUGGAAGCAUAAGUUGUGUAAUGUGUGCCCCCCCAGACCCCCAAAAUAAACUAUAAGCUAAAUCCCCCACACACAAUAAUGAACAUAAUCAAGUACUGGCAGAUCUUUCGUAAUAAAUCUGCAAUCGCUCCUUCAGACCUAUUUGUUCUAACUCCUGAUCUACCCACUAGAGUCCACCAGUACAAAAUAGCCUCCCAGAAUCCCUGGUCAUCCUUCAGUCUCUAUCUAUUUAAAUCUGCACUAGCUCAUCAUAUAGGGCAGGCUGGCUUCCUAGAGCCCCCGCCUCAUCAUGUGGAUUUUGGGGUUGGGAAGCCUAUCCUAACAUAACCUGGUGGGCGCCUCCCAAAACAUACUAACCUAAGGGAGUUGUUACAGUCUUCAUAAUAUUAAUCUAGAGCAUAUAAAGGUAUUUUGUAAAGGAUUGGUGACCAUAAUUAUUAAUGUGGCAGCAGUCUCGCCUAGGAAAUAACCCCAACAAGUGAUACAGAAAGAAGGGAAACCAAUUUACUGAAGGCUUUUAGUUGUACGUUUUGAUACCGUUGAUGAGGAUUCAGGCCCCGGUCCGCCGCCGCAGCAGCGCUCCACAGGGCCGCUAACAUUAUAACAGUAAUAUUAGCACCUAAAGUUGUCUUCAAUCCUUAUUUGUUAAGUCGUAGGACUUAGUGAAUAAGUGAGCCUUCAGCGCUUUCUUGAAGAUUGCCAGACUGUCACUGUUCUUAACAUCCCGGGUAACUCAUUAUAGAGCCUCGGGGCACUCUUCUCAAAUGCUCUGGAAACCCAGUUCCAGGUUGACCCUGGGCUCUUUGAGUCUAUACCGUUAUAUCCUGUUGUAUAUUACAGAUAGUAUGUUCAGAUAUGAGUAAAAAAAAAAAUCGUUAUACACAGUGGAAAAUAACAGGCAUGCAAAUGACAGAAUAAGGAGGGCGGACCGAUGUCUUGUCGGGGGACCGAUCAGUCUGCAGUAGAUGCGGGCCAGCUGGUCCCCCCUUUAAAUGGGGCGGGCCAACACGGGUCGGCGCAUGCGCAUUAGAGGGGGGAACAGGGGGGAUUGGGGGAACGUUCAGUCCGCCACAGUGGCGGCAGGCGUCCACCCCAUGGAGGUAUAUCCUCCAUGGUCCACCCAUCACGACAAGAAGCUGUCCUCCGCCUCACCUGCGCCUUCCUUAGGAAGACGAGGCAGCUGACGCGCCUGUGAAGCCCUCACAGGACGACACCAGGGCUCAUGUGAGCCGCACAGUGAGCGACUAGAUCGCCGCGGCCCUAAACAACAACAACAACAACAAUAUGGGUUAAGGUAACAAGAUGGCGGGUCAGCAGUGGUGUGGGUGCUGAGUUGAGGCCUGACACAGCUGUUUCAGUCAUGGCUGUCAGCCGAUGACUUACACUCAGCUGUCCGUCCAUGCUGUCACCACAUGGGGAAAAAAAGUUUAAAAAUCCCAGGCCGACCUGUCAACCAUUACUUUUCCGUCCGUGCUCUGUGACGUAAUAACAGCAAACCAUUCCUUCAUUAUAUAAUAUAUAUAAUGAAGGAAAAUAAAAGGAAGACCUCAAUAAUAAUAAUAAUAAUAAUAAUAAUAAUAAUAAUAAUAAUUAAAAAAAAUCAAUAAUAAUAAAAAUAAUAUUAGUACCAGUAAUAGGAAGACAACUACCAGGUACAAUUAUGUUAUAGUAUUAAUAAAGAUAACAUGGUAAUAAUGAAAUUUUGAAACUUCAGUAUUGCCAAAUAUAGUUUUAAAUGACAAAAUAAUAACAAAACUACUACUACUACUACUACUACUAUUACUACUAUUUAUAAGAGUAUGUCCUUUGAUAGCCUUACAUUAGUAUACCUUAUUACAUUUAAAGAUUCAGGGAGAGAGAGAAAGACCAAAACAGAUUUUCAUUAUUAUUUACUUUAUCCACAACAACAACAACAACAACAAGUGCUUAAACUCCCUGUGUUGUGAUUCUGAGGACACACACACACACACACACACACACACAUACACACACACACAAGCUGGCGAUCACAAGUCUAGCAUGCGAUCAGACCCGGACUCAGCACACACACACACACACACACACACACACACAAACACAAGCUGGCGAUCACAAGUCUAGCAUGCGAUCAGACCAGGACGAAGCACACACACACACACACACACACACACACAUACACACAAACACAAGCUGGCGAUCACAAGUCUAGCAUGCGAUCAGACCAGGACGAAGCACACACACACACACACACACACACACACACACACAAACACAAGCUGGCGAUCACAAGUCUAGCAUGCGAUCAGACCAGGACGAAGCACACACACACACACACACACACACACACACACACACAUUUGGCCUUCAAUCUUUAGCACAUGAGAUUUUAACACAUUUUUAAGCUCUUUGAUUUAUGCCAUACGAAAAUAUAAGCUUACGAGAUAUCCAAGCUCCCUCUAAAGCUUCUUCUAUACAGCUGAAAAUACUUAAAAAUAGACUUAUAUAUAUACACAGCGCUUGGUGGGUCAUUUCUAUGUAUAUGAAUAAAUUUAAUAUCGGGGAAUCUCAUAUGUAAAUGCAUAGCGGGUAUUCAUAAAAGCUUACGAUUACGAAAUGAACGCACAUCCGAGAGAGAGAAAGUAAGGUCAGGUUAGGCUAAAACGCGUGUUAUAUGGGGCUUUUAGUGUAGACAGGGCAACCGAAUUAGCUGAGCCGGUAUUUUGUUUUCGGUGGAAUUUGAUCCGAAUUCUUGCUGCCUGGGAGAAUUCAGAGACACAAGGAACAUGGCUACCAAUUCUCUUUUCUCUUCCUUCUAAGAUGCAUUCAUUCACUGGUGUUCUUGUCAUGGUUUUUUUGGUAGAAUUUGAUAACCGAAUUCUUGCUGCCUCGUAGAAUUCAGAGACACACGGGACAUGGACACCAAUUCUCUUUUCUCUUCCUUCCCAGAGCCAUUCCUUCACUCCUUCCUUCUCAGAUGCUACUCUUUACUCUUGUCUAUUAUGGGAGCGGCGACUAGCGGGCUUUUUUCUUUUUCACUCUUUUUGUUGCCCUUGAGCCAUCUCCUUAGAUGUAAAAAUAAUAAUAAAUAAAUAAAUAAGACUCGUGCCUUGUCAGACGCACUCAUUCAUUUGCGUUUUUAUGAUUUUUUUGUUCUCGGUACCAAAGCACACACACACACAGCUGGCAAGGCUUUCGUAGAAGCUUUGGGCAUUUCCAGAGGUAGCUUUAUGACCCUAGUGGUAGUUCGACCCUGAAAGAAUGUGAAAUAGAACCUGACUGAUCUCCUUUUCAGCCUUUGGAAGUAUAGUUGAUGCUUGAGAAUAAACCUCUAAUGCUCGUAUUUGAAGCUCUCCCUCACUAAGAAACCUCACCCACUGCCAACCUGAAAAUCAAUGGCAGCUUCUUCUUCUAAGCUGUUCAUCUCCUUCACUGUGUUCCAAGCUCUCCCUCACUAAAAACACCAGUCAUUGCUAAUCUAAAAAGCAACAGCAGGUUCUUCAUUUUCACUGUGUUCCAAGCUCUCCCUCACUAAAAAUGUCAGUCAUUGUCGAUCUAAAAUCCAAUGGCAGCUGCUUCUUAUAAACUGUUCCUCGCCUUCACUGUGUUCCAAGCUCUCAGUCACUAAGAAAUACCAGCCACUGCCAAACUAAAUCCAAUGGCAGACUCUUCUUAUAAACCGUUUCUCCCUUCACUGUGUUCCAAGCUCUCCCUUACUAAAAACGUCAGUCAUUGUUGAUCUAAAAUCCAGUGGCAGCUUCUUCCUAUAAACUGUUUCUCCCUUCAUUGUAUUGCACAGAAUUCACAACCUAUAAAUAUAAUACUUCUUCCCUUAUAAUUGCACUACGCUAUUACGGACAGAGAUGAUUAAGAAGAUGAAGACGAGGAAGAAGAAGUUAUUGAUGUAAAGAUGAAGAAGAAGAAAAAGAAAGAAAGAAAGAAAGAAGAGGAAGAAAUAAAUGAUGUAGAGAAGAUAAAGAAAAAAAAGAUACCUGAUGUGAAGAUGAUGGACAAUGACGAAGAAAAAGAAGAGAGAAUAAAGAAAAAGAAAGAAAGAAGAAGAGGAAAAAAUAAAUAACAGAGAU